GACCAUCAGGGUUUUUAAUCGCCGGCUC
This 28-nucleotide small RNA is filed under the name Bombyx mori (domestic silkworm). Its description in RNAcentral is "ovarian small RNA-5067". The record is from RNAcentral. Lineage: Eukaryota; Metazoa; Arthropoda; Insecta; Lepidoptera; Bombycidae.